RNAcentral lists this ribosomal RNA (389 nucleotides) under uncultured bacterium. Its description in RNAcentral is "bacterial SSU rRNA". It matches the Rfam family "Bacterial small subunit ribosomal RNA", at positions 28 to 408 of the family's 1533-position model. The record is from RNAcentral.
AAUCAACGCUGGCGGCGUGCCUAACACAUGCAAGUCGAGCGCGAAAGGGGGCAACCCCGAGUAGAGCGGCGAACGGGUGAGUAACGCGUGGGUGAUUUGCCUCCGAGUGGGGAACAGCACCGGGAAACUGGUGCUAAUACCGCAUGACAUCCUCGGGUCGUACUGAGGAUCAAAGCUGGGGACCGCAAGGCCUAGCGCUUGGAGAGAAGCCCGCGUCCGAUUAGCUAGUUGGGGGGUAAUGGCCUACCAAGGCGACGAUCGGUAGCCGGCCUGAGAGGGCGGACGGCCACACUGGGACUGAGACACGGCCCAGACUCCUACGGGAGGCAGCAGGUGGGGAAUUGGUUCGCAAUGGGCGCAAGCCUGACGACGCAACGCCGCGUGGAGGA